AGAGUUUGAUCCUGGCUCAGGACGAACGCUGGCGGCGUGCUUAACACAUGCAAGUCGAACGGAAAGGCCCUUCGGGGUACUCGAGUGGCGAACGGGUGAGUAACACGUGGGUGAUCUGCCCUGCACUUUGGGAUAAGCCUGGGAAACUGGGUCUAAUACCGAAUAGGACCACAGGACACAUGUCCUGUGGUGGAAAGCUUUUGCGGUGUGGGAUGGGCCCGCGGCCUAUCAGCUUGUUGGUGGGGUGAUGGCCUACCAAGGCGACGACGGGUAGCCGGCCUGAGAGGGUGUCCGGCCACACUGGGACUGAGAUACGGCCCAGACUCCUACGGGAGGCAGCAGUGGGGAAUAUUGCACAAUGGGCGAAAGCCUGAUGCAGCGACGCCGCGUGGGGGAUGACGGCCUUCGGGUUGUAAACCUCUUUCACCAUCGACGAAGGUCCGGGUUUUCCCGGGCUGACGGUAGGUGGAGAAGAAGCACCGGCCAACUACGUGCCAGCAGCCGCGGUAAUACGUAGGGUGCGAGCGUUGUCCGGAAUUACUGGGCGUAAAGAGCUCGUAGGUGGUUUGUCGCGUUGUUCGUGAAAUCUCACGGCUUAACUGUGAGCGUGCGGGCGAUACGGGCAGACUUGAGUACUGCAGGGGAGACUGGAAUUCCUGGUGUAGCGGUGGAAUGCGCAGAUAUCAGGAGGAACACCGGUGGCGAAGGCGGGUCUCUGGGCAGUAACUGACGCUGAGGAGCGAAAGCGUGGGGAGCGAACAGGAUUAGAUACCCUGGUAGUCC
Molecule: ribosomal RNA, 783 nt
Filed under: uncultured bacterium
Lineage: Bacteria
Description: bacterial SSU rRNA
Rfam family: Bacterial small subunit ribosomal RNA
Source: RNAcentral